Molecule: ribosomal RNA, 264 nt
Filed under: Triticum aestivum (bread wheat)
Lineage: Eukaryota; Viridiplantae; Streptophyta; Magnoliopsida; Poales; Poaceae
Description: partial small subunit ribosomal RNA
Source: RNAcentral
AUGGACACGGGCGGCGAGGACAUCCUCGUCCUCCUGCAAUCCGCGUUCGUCGUCCCCUUCGAGGCCGCCAUCGACCGCCUCACUCCCCGGCUCUCGCCUCCCAGGCCUCGGCUGACGGCCUCCGCCCCCAUCUCUUCGUCCCGCUCCGUGACGGUACCACCAAAUGUGCAAGUGGAGCCAAUUGUUGUGAACUUUGAUAAACUUGAUCUCAUGCUUGUAGAGAAGGAUGAUUCAGAACAGAGGAAUGCUUCGCAGUCAAGAUAA